Small nuclear RNA from Gorilla gorilla gorilla (western lowland gorilla), 102 nucleotides. The record is from Ensembl. Lineage: Eukaryota; Metazoa; Chordata; Mammalia; Primates; Hominidae.
AGGCUCACUUCAGCAGCACAUAUACUAAAAUUAAAACAAUAGAGAUUAGCAUGUCCCUUGCACAAAGAUGAUAUGCAAAUUCAUGAAGCAUCUCAUAUUUCA